Molecule: long non-coding RNA, 927 nt
Filed under: Olea europaea subsp. europaea
Lineage: Eukaryota; Viridiplantae; Streptophyta; Magnoliopsida; Lamiales; Oleaceae
Source: RNAcentral
GCAAGAUUUAACACUGUAGUUAAAAAAAAAAAAAAAAAAAAAAACUAAAUUCAAGUGAAACCAAAUGUACAAAUCCAAACAAACUAAGUUUGAUUAAAGGAUGCUUUUUUAACCUCUUCUCCGUCGUCCAAGACGUAUACUUCUCCAUGCACAAAAGGAGACAUUGUUCAGGCAUCAGUAUUCAAGUAGAGAUAUGAAAACAGUAAAAAACAGAGAUGAAUGAGAAAAAAAUAGUUGAAACUAAAAAGAAAAUUCUUAAAAAGGGUUAUAGGAUAUUAAAGAAGUAAAAAGGAAAUUAGAGAAAUCAAGGGAAUAUCUUUUAACGCAAAGUGAUAGGAAGAUGAAAAACAGAGUGCGAAAAUUUUCUAAUGGUUUAGAAAAAUGACAUAAUCUAACAGAGUCUAAUCUCGUCAGAGUAUAAAAAAAAACAGAGUGCGAAAAUUUUCUAAUGGUUUAGAAAAAUGACAUAAUCUAACAUAGUCUAAUCUCGUCAUAGUAUACAAAGGUAAUUUUAUGGCUUCUCAAAAAGCAAUAUGAAAAAGAAAGCAAAAAACUAAAAGCAUAUUAAAAUUUCCUUUUGUAUUUCAUCACGAAGCUUAAAGCCCAAUAAUUUUAGUUCAUAUUCCUUCAAAAAAUGAGAUAGACAAUGGAAGGAAGAACAAAAAUAAACAAAAACAAGAAUAAGAAUAAGAAAAAGACAAAAAUAUUUAACUAGUCGUGAUGGAAGAAACACGAAGUCCAUAGGUCUUAAGGAUGAGACCAAUAUUGCUUGCAGUCACUCUUUUCUCCAAUCCAAUAACCACUCAAUUAGUCACCAAGACAUCAUUUUCUCUCUGAAAAUACUUUAGCCCAAAACAGGAAAAGACACUUGGUGAACAUAAACAUAAAAAGUAAAUGGCAAAAAUAUCUUAUGAAGUAGUUAGCAAG